Molecule: small RNA, 180 nt
Filed under: Salmonella enterica subsp. enterica serovar Dublin str. CT_02021853
Lineage: Bacteria; Pseudomonadati; Pseudomonadota; Gammaproteobacteria; Enterobacterales; Enterobacteriaceae
Also listed under: 2 other names
Description: RtT RNA
Rfam family: RtT RNA (bases 38-178)
About the family: This family represents a bacterial cis-regulatory element known as RtT RNA. The exact function of RtT is unknown although it is thought that it may be involved in changing the cellular response in relation to amino acid starvation.
Source: RNAcentral
CGGGCCAGUAUUAAGCAUUACCCCGUGGUGGGGUUCCCGAGCGAUCAUAAGGGAGCUGACUACAAAUCUGCCGUCAUCGACUUCAAGGUUCGACUCGAGCAAUAGUGAGAGAACGUUGCCGCAGGCAACGGCCCGAAGGGUGAGGAGCUUUAGCUCCGAAUAAUCCUUCCCGCUAUAGAA